AAAUUGAAGAGUUUGAUCAUGGCUCAGAUUGAACGCUGGCGGCAGGCCUAACACAUGCAAGUCGAGCGGAAACGAGUUAUCUGAACCUUCGGGGGACGAUAACGGCGUCGAGCGGCGGACGGGUGAGUAAUGCCUAGGAAAUUGCCCUGAUGUGGGGGAUAACCAUUGGAAACGAUGGCUAAUACCGCAUGAUGCCUACGGGCCAAAGAGGGGGACCUUCGGGCCUCUCGCGUCAGGAUAUGCCUAGGUGGGAUUAGCUAGUUGGUGAGGUAAGGGCUCACCAAGGCGACGAUCCCUAGCUGGUCUGAGAGGAUGAUCAGCCACACUGGAACUGAGACACGGUCCAGACUCCUACGGGAGGCAGCAGUGGGGAAUAUUGCACAAUGGGCGCAAGCCUGAUGCAGCCAUGCCGCGUGUGUGAAGAAGGCCUUCGGGUUGUAAAGCACUUUCAGUCGUGAGGAAGGUGGUGUCGUUAAUAGCGGCAUUAUUUGACGUUAGCGACAGAAGAAGCACCGGCUAACUCCGUGCCAGCAGCCGCGGUAAUACGGAGGGUGCGAGCGUUAAUCGGAAUUACUGGGCGUAAAGCGCAUGCAGGUGGUUUGUUAAGUCAGAUGUGAAAGCCCGGGGCUCAACCUCGGAAU
This 641-nucleotide ribosomal RNA is filed under the name Vibrio alginolyticus. RNAcentral describes it as "bacterial SSU rRNA". It matches the Rfam family "Bacterial small subunit ribosomal RNA", at positions 1 to 621 of the family's 1533-position model. Lineage: Bacteria; Pseudomonadati; Pseudomonadota; Gammaproteobacteria; Vibrionales; Vibrionaceae. The record is from RNAcentral.